This 68-nucleotide transfer RNA is filed under the name Clinotanypus yani. RNAcentral describes it as "tRNA-Asn". The record is from RNAcentral. Lineage: Eukaryota; Metazoa; Arthropoda; Insecta; Diptera; Chironomidae.
UUAAUUGAAGCCAAAGAUUAGAGGCUUAUCACUGUUAAUGAUAGAAAUGAAUUUUAAUUCCAAUUAAG